UGAGUACGAGAUGCUACGGCAUCGAAGCAGUCUAUGUCAUACUUCCAAGAAAAGCUUGCAAUGUCAUAAACAAAUAAUGCCUGUACCAUAACCGACACAGGUGGGUAGGUAGAGUAUACUAAGGGGCGCGAGAUAACUCUCUCUAAGGAACUCGGCAAAAUGACUCCGUAACUUCGGGAGAAGGAGUGCCUUAUUUUUAUAAGGUUGCAAUAACAAGAUCCAAGCAACUGUUUACCAAAAACACAGGUCUCCGCUAAGUCGUAAGACGAUGUAUGGGGGCUGACGCCUGCCCAGUGCCAGAAGGUUAAAGAAGUUGGUUAGCAUUAGCGAAGCUGAUAACUGAAGCCCUGGUGAACGGCGGCCGUAACAAUAACGGUCCUAAGGUAGCGAAAUUCCUUGUCGGGUAAGUUCCGACCCGCACGAAAGGCGUAAUGAUUUGGAUACUGUCUCGGAGAGGGGCUCGGUGAAAUAGACUUGUCUGUGAAGAUGCGGACUACCUGCACCUGGACAGAAAGACCCUAUGAAGCUUUACUGUAACUUGAGAUUGAAAUUGACUUUAUCUGCGCAGUAUAGGUGGGAGACGUUGAAAAUAUUCUUGCGGGAAUAUUGGAGUCAUCAGUGAGAUACCACUCUUAUAAUGUUAGAUUUCUAACUUUGUAUCAUUAUCUGGUCAAAGAACAGUUUCAGGCGGGCAGUUUGACUGGGGCGGUCGCCUCCCAAACGGUAACGGAGGCGCACAAAGGUUUCCUCUGAACGUGUAGAAAUCGUAUCUUGAGUGUAAAGGCAUAAGGAAGCUUGACUGUGAGACCUACAAGUCGAGCAGGGACGAAAGUCGGUCUUAGUGAUCUGACGGUUCUGAGUGGAAAGGCCGUCACUCAACGGAUAAAAGUUACUCUAAGGAUAACAGGCUGAUCUCCCCCAAGAGUUCACAUCGACGGGGAGGUUUGGCACCUCGAUGUCGGCUCAUCGCAUCCUGGGGCGGUAGUACGUCCCAAGGGUUGGGCUGUUCGCCCAUGAAAGCGGUACGCGAGCUGGGUUCAGAACGUCGUGAGACAGUUCGGUCCAUAUCCGGUGUAGGCGUUAGAAUAUUGAGAGGAGCCUUCUUUAGUACAGGACCGAGAAGGACAUACCUCUGGUGUACCAGUUAUCGUGCCAACGGUAAACGCUGGGUAGCCAUGUAUGGAGAGGAUAACCGCUGAAAGCAUCUAAGUGGGAAGCCCACCUCAAGAUAAGUA
This 1235-nucleotide ribosomal RNA is filed under the name metagenome. Its description in RNAcentral is "bacterial LSU rRNA". It matches the Rfam family "Bacterial large subunit ribosomal RNA", at positions 1564 to 2810 of the family's 2925-position model. The record is from RNAcentral.